Molecule: long non-coding RNA, 1464 nt
Organism: Chinchilla lanigera (long-tailed chinchilla)
Lineage: Eukaryota; Metazoa; Chordata; Mammalia; Rodentia; Chinchillidae
Exons: 2
Source: RefSeq, a predicted model, not a curated record
UGGACUUGGAGAGUUCAGUUAAGAGCCAGGACAAGGCUGCAGAUCUUUCCGGCUGGCGUCAUCGGAGGAGACGACCUCGCCCCUGCUGCGUCAGGAGGAGUCACAGUGACCUGAUUUCGUGCGCAUUCACAAAAACAGCUUUACUUCUCCUUUCUCAAGGAAAGUAGAAAAUGAUAUGAGUAUCCUUUUCCUGUCUGGCUUCAUCAAGAUUUAUACAGCACGAGACCAGAUACCUCAUGGUUUAGUGCCAUUCCCUACGGCUAAAAGACAUCAAAAGGAGCUGCAUAGUUCAGAGGAGGGGGACGCCCCCCCUCGCCUGAGUCCUGCCAGUGUCCCUGGGGACAGUCGGGGCAGCAGCCCGCUUGGUUAUGGCUCAGCCCUUCUGCAGCGUGAGGGCACACAGGGGCUCUGGACAUCGGGAGCCGUGGAGCAGCAGCCCUGGAGGUCCCUGAGGAGGCCUCGCCCGCCUCACGGACUGCCCCACAGAACAAGCCCCUCGUCUCCCAGUUACAACACAGUCACACCCAGCCCUGUGACAGGGAGAAGGGACUGCUGUGUGCCAGGUGACAACUGCCACCUCACCUGACUGACCCCAUACUGCUGUGUGGGCCAUCCAGGUGGGGCAACUGAGGGGCAGAUGGUCACCAUCCAGAUGAGUCAGAGACCCCCCCUUGGCCCCUGGAUGUGGAAAUCCCGUGCACCUUCCUAUGCACGACAGACGGCGUGUUGCAUUCUGGAGGAAGAUGCUAUGUGUAGAGACAAUUUGAAAGGAAAUUCAGAAGGUCGUGAUUUAAAACUAUGCAGAAAAUGACAUUCAGGAGCCCUUGGUGAAAGGACACUGGGCGGCAACUGGUCUCUGCUCCUGGGGGUCAGGCCUGGGCCGAUGACCCCCAGACCUGAGCUUGGCUUUCAGGGUUCAGACAGCUGCAGCAGGCGGGGGGCUGUGGUCCGCUCAGCAGUGUCCCUUUCAUUCUGUCUCCUACCCCAGGCAGCACGGGAGUUCUGACCUGAGCCUCGGGACGUGCUGCAGAGCGCGGUGAGGACUGUGGGUGCCACCGGGCUGUGCCGUCUCUGACCCCAAACCCUUCGGAGGCAGAGCAUCUGUACUGCUUGUUAUGUUGCCAGCACAGCACUGAGCAGACAGCUGGCAGCUGACAGAUGCCGAGCGACUGGGGAAGCAGGGUGCCCACCAGCCCGUGAUGGCUGUCCUGGCUACUGCCAGCCCAACCCCAUGUCACAGAAAUUCCACAGACAUCUGGCCAACUUGCAGCUCAUCCUCAACUGGACGUGAAGUGGGCACAGCCCAGGAGGACUCUUGGGUGAGGCUGGGCCCCCUGUAAACGGGCUGGGCACCCUGGAAGGUGGCUCUGGUUCCCAAGCCUCUAUUUUACACAGACCUUGAUAUAUUUGGACCACAUACAUGCAGUGUCAUUUUAAAAAGUAAAAAUCACUUGUACAUGCUUA